Molecule: long non-coding RNA, 1753 nt
Organism: Drosophila mojavensis
Lineage: Eukaryota; Metazoa; Arthropoda; Insecta; Diptera; Drosophilidae
Exons: 2
Source: RefSeq, a predicted model, not a curated record
GCUUCGUUGCGGAAGCAAAUUGGCAAAUUGGCAAAUUUAACAUGUAUUUUUAGCACUUUAUGCUAAUUGGAGAAAAUGGAGCAACGUCUGAAAUGGAGCACUGUCUGUAUUCAAAUACGAUAUCAGCACAAUGUAAACCAUUUAACUAAAAUUAUAUAGAAAAUGUUGCUGCUAAAACACUAUUUCUGAUGGCUUUCUCGUGUAUAUAGAUGACCGAUCGACCAAUAAAUUAAACACCAAGCGAUAACUAUAUCGAUUUGAUCAAUAGGAUAAUAAAAAUAUGUUUACAAUGAGAGGAUCAAUGAGUACUUGAGUCUGCUGUGCAGAGUUUACACACCAUCAUUUGGAUCUUGAUCCGCUAGUGCCGAGGCUGUCUGCGCCUGCGCCUGCGCCUGUGCUGCUGUCCAUGCAUAAAGAAUUAACGGUACACAGAGUAGUCCAUAGAGCCGAGUCCUUGGCUUGCCGUGUUUCUUGGGCCUCAUCUUACGACAACAUUGCCACCAGUUGCUGUUCAAUUCGGAAGUUAAAUUCAAGUUCAAUGUCAGCUGACCAAAAUGCAACCGGUUUCGCAAUAACUUCUCCAAAUUAAUUCAACGUAUCGAACAGUAUUAACCCCUUAUAUAAGGAAGCAGCUCGUUUAAGUGCAAUGCGCACAUUAAUAAACUUUAGGCGUGAAUCAAUAAAAAUUUGCAAAAAAAAAAAAAAAAAAACAAUAACAACUUUUUGUAUGUAUGUAUGUGUUCGAGCCAUGAGUGUAAUCGACAGUUGAACUUGUCACAUUGAGUACAGGUGUCAAUUUUAAAAAUGCAUUAAAUUAUAACAAAGGUAAAAUUCAUACAAUUUGACCCGAAGAAGGAGAGAGAGAGAGAGAGAGAGAAGAGAGAGAGAGAGAGAGAGAGAGAGAGAGAACAACAUAAUUCAAAUGCAUUUAUAAUUAAAUAAUUCCUGACUCAUCUUAUUCUCUCACUAUAUGUUUCUGGAAUCAAUUUGCUUUUCGAAUCCGUAUUAUUCCGUAAUCGGUAAAUAAGUGAAACAUCCUACCAAAUUCUACCAAUACAUAGAAAGUUUUGUUUAGGAAUCUUCAGAGCAAUUGACUGUUGUAAAGAUAACAGAGACGUAAUUUCCCAAAUAGUUUACCAUCCAUUUAGAAGUAGACUGGAAUAUCUAUAUGAGCUGGCAUAUUAAAGUGCUGGAGGUAUGUCAUAGCCGGUUAUCCUAACACAACAUGUUCAAAUUAGUAAAGCUGAUUAAAGUUCCCCAUAAAAUGUUUAUUAAGUCAAAUUGAUAUUUUUCCCAAAAUACAACAAGUUAACCCAUGUCCAUAUGAGAUAUUACAACAAAAUUUAUAAAUAUCGAGGCACAGCUUGCAUGCCUUGCAUAAUGUGAAUAACCACAAAUCAUGUUCUAUAUUUUAUGGUCCAUGUAGUAAUCAUGCACGCAGUUACAAUUUUCUUCUAUAUAAAAUCUAUAUAUAUAUAUAUCUUCUCUGAGCUCUACAUUGUAAGUAAUAAUUUGUUAUAAUUUCCCGAAAGAUACCGAGUUUGUUUAUUUCCGCGAAUAUAAUAAAUAAGUGAAGACUCAAAAUGUUUUCUACUCACUUAGCUAAAUGUUUAUGCAGUAAUUAAUCAAGUUUAUUAUUUUCUUAUUAUCUUAAAACUAAAUAUAUGCAUAAUAUAUAGAUAGAUAUAUAUUAAUAUUAUGCUUUAAUAUACACAAUAUGACUCAAGUUCUUGGCAAAAGCCUUGCAAGUGAA